AUGUGGCUACAGAGGGUCGCUCGCCUACGCCCGACGCCCGCGUUGCCGUGGCCCUGUCCAGAUCGCAGAUCGAUCGAAGAAACCCGGGUGGCCGCCAUCUUCCCAAUCCACGAGGCCCCCAAGCCUCUCCUGCCUGGAAGCGCCUGUCGAGCCCUUCCCCUCCAUUGGGAUGUCAGGGUGGAAGACAUGGCGUGCACCCCUGGUGGCGAGGAGGAGCUUUAG
This 222-nucleotide ribosomal RNA is filed under the name Triticum aestivum (bread wheat). Its description in RNAcentral is "partial small subunit ribosomal RNA". Lineage: Eukaryota; Viridiplantae; Streptophyta; Magnoliopsida; Poales; Poaceae. The record is from RNAcentral.